This 184-nucleotide ribosomal RNA is filed under the name Erythrobacter sp. HI0020. Its description in RNAcentral is "partial 16S ribosomal RNA". It matches the Rfam family "Bacterial small subunit ribosomal RNA", at positions 1 to 208 of the family's 1533-position model. The record is from RNAcentral. Lineage: Bacteria; Pseudomonadati; Pseudomonadota; Alphaproteobacteria; Sphingomonadales; Erythrobacteraceae.
CAAACUUGAGAGUUUGAUCCUGGCUCAGAACGAACGCUGGCGGCAUGCCUAACACAUGCAAGUCGAACGCCCUCUUUUAGAGGGAGUGGCGCACGGGUGCGUAACGCGUGGGAACCUGCCCUUAGGUUCGGAAUAACUCAGAGAAAUUUGAGCUAAUACCGGAUAAUGUCUUCGGACCAAAGAU